Molecule: long non-coding RNA, 1404 nt
Organism: Carassius carassius (crucian carp)
Lineage: Eukaryota; Metazoa; Chordata; Actinopteri; Cypriniformes; Cyprinidae
Exons: 11
Source: RefSeq, a predicted model, not a curated record
UAGAUGUUCUACUCGAGGUUAAUGUUCAAAUACUUCAUGGGUGUCCAUCCCAAAAAACUCUCUCCAGACACGGCUGUUUUCUUUUCAGAUAGCAGAGAAUUCUUCUAGAAAGAUUACUCUACAUCUUUCCUUGAGUCUGGAGAGCACAGGAAAUCCUGCCUUCUCAUGUACCUUCAACACAGGAACCAUGAACCUGUGUGACGGGUCUGAUCCACCUGCAGUUUUCCCAAACUGCUCCUGUAGUUUUUCUGACCAGAUUCUAUACACUGGAGGUUUAAGAGUCUCUGCUACAGUUACUAUUGAGGAUCAGAAGAUCACAGAGACACUGACGCUGACAAACUGCUACAGUAUCACAGAAAAUUCACCAAAUGCUUCUUAUACACAAUGUGUGCAGUGUGUCUCAUCUGGGUUUCACUGGUCCUCUUCCUCCAAGCGUUGUGAUUGGACACAUGGAAGUGGGCUGCAGUUACACACACAGGAUGAAUGUAAAUAUCUUCUCUCUUAGAUGGUCUACAAAGCCAGAGAGAUUCAGUCUCUGAAGCCGAACAAGGUUUCUUUCCAUGGCAGAAACAAUGUUUUACUAAGAGGAAGGAACCUGGAAUCUGUUACUAAAAUCCGUAUUCAAACGGAUCUGGAGUGCAUUCCUAAAGAAUCUCCAGUGUUUGAUCGCUCCAGUGACACGUUAAGGUUCCACAUUCCUCCCAGUGGAACUAAAGGAACAGUGAAAGUGUGUGUUGUUACUCCUGACGACCGUUGUCAUGGUAACAGCAUCAUCACUUACAGUUCUCAGCCCAGCUGCACUGGAAUACAGCCCACAGUCAGCUGGAGCAGUGGUGGAAGGAAGAUUCAUGUUCAGGGGAGCAAUCUGGAAUUUGUGGAAUUAGUUACUGCCCCCCCCCUCUAAUGAAGUACUGGAAACACAAUACAACACAAGCUCAGGGUAUGUGUGGUUUGUCUCCGGUCCUUAUGAUGGCAGUGGUCAGUUUAGAUUGUUGUUGAAUGUUGGGAACUCCACUGUGGACUGUGUGGAUUAUUUCUCUUAUGAACCUGAUCCUGAAUUCACUGGAUUCACCACCGUACAGGUGGCCAAUUAUCUACAGGUGAACAUUCAGAAAAAGGCAGAUAUGUUGAAUUUGAGUAUGAAUGAGGUGACUGUGACGGGUCUACAGGGAGAUCAGCAGUAUCCGUGUGUUUUGGAGACGAUUGAGUCCAAUGCCAUCAUCUGUAAGAUUAAAAGAGAAUCAGGACACGUUCGAACAGUGGACUCACUCACUAUCACGGUUGGGAAUUAUGUUCACGGGAUGAGUAAUACAAAGAAUCUGUUCUGCCUCAGUCCACACAAUACACCUGGCCAUAUAUGAAGGAAAACUGAUGCUCAGCAUCUUCCAGGGGUAAAAAAAAAGA